CGUGUAGGCGGCCAGGUAGGUCGGUUGUGAAAACUGGAGGCUCAACCUUCAGACGUCGACCGAAACCAUCUGGCUAGAGUCCGGGAGAGGAGAGUGGAAUUCCUGGUGUAGCGGUGAAAUGCGCAGAUAUCAGGAAGAACACCCGUGGCGAAAGCGGCUCUCUGGAACGGUACUGACGCUGAGACGCGAAAGCGUGGGGAACGAACA
This 207-nucleotide ribosomal RNA is filed under the name uncultured bacterium. Its description in RNAcentral is "partial 16S ribosomal RNA". It matches the Rfam family "Bacterial small subunit ribosomal RNA", at positions 568 to 774 of the family's 1533-position model. The record is from RNAcentral.